AUAACCGAAAGAAGAAAAACAUGAAAAAUAGACAGAAGAAAAAUGACGAUUACCCAAAAUAGAGAGCACUAGAUUACACUUUUGGCAUAAAGAUAUAGCUAAAUGAAUAGGUGCUCACACCAAACAAUUAAGGUGAGUCCUCAUUCGGCACUACGCUCCUACACUCUCCGACUCCUUAACUUUCUCUUCAAAAACCUCCCCGCAUCUCUCAAUCGAUUACUCCUCUAUCCA
This 231-nucleotide long non-coding RNA is filed under the name Gossypium barbadense (sea-island cotton). Its description in RNAcentral is "long non-coding RNA (GBAR_LNC006491)". Lineage: Eukaryota; Viridiplantae; Streptophyta; Magnoliopsida; Malvales; Malvaceae. The record is from RNAcentral.